Orchesella cincta is the source of this 46-nucleotide non-coding RNA. The record is from Rfam. Lineage: Eukaryota; Metazoa; Arthropoda; Collembola; Entomobryomorpha; Orchesellidae.
CCAACGGCCCUUAUAAGGGCCACCAUAUACUCCAAAGAGCAUUUCA